RNAcentral lists this ribosomal RNA (486 nucleotides) under Pseudeurotium bakeri. RNAcentral describes it as "eukaryotic LSU rRNA". The stretch from base 135 to 288 matches the Rfam family "5.8S ribosomal RNA". The record is from RNAcentral. Lineage: Eukaryota; Fungi; Ascomycota; Leotiomycetes; Thelebolales; Pseudeurotiaceae.
CCCACCCUUUGUUUAUUAUACCUUUGUUGCUUUGGCGGGCCCGUCCUCGGACCACCGGCUUCGGCUGGUCAGUGCCCGCCAGAGGACCUAAAACUCUGUUUGUUCAUAUUGUCUGAGUACUAUAUAAUAGUUAAAACUUUCAACAACGGAUCUCUUGGUUCUGGCAUCGAUGAAGAACGCAGCGAAAUGCGAUAAGUAAUGUGAAUUGCAGAAUUCAGUGAAUCAUCGAAUCUUUGAACGCACAUUGCGCCCCCUGGUAUUCCGGGGGGCAUGCCUGUUCGAGCGUCAUUACAACCCUCAAGCUCUGCUUGGUAUUGGGCUCUGCCGGUCCCGGCAGGCCUUAAAAUCAGUGGCGGUGCCAUUCGGCUUCAAGCGUAGUAAUUCUUCUCGCUUUGGAGACCCGGGUGCGUGCUUGCCAGCAACCCCCAAUUUUUUCAGGUUGACCUCGGAUCAGGUAGGGAUACCCGCUGAACUUAAGCAUAUCAA